AUGCCCGGUCCGGGUGCGGGAUGCCCGAUCCGGGUGCGGGAUGCUCGGUCCGGGUGCGGGAUGCCGGGUCUGUCUGAGUGGGGGAUGCCCGAUUUGAGUGCGGGAUGCUCGGUCCGGGGUUGCGCGCCAGCCCCGCGCCAGAGCUCCGGCGGAUGGAUGGAUGGAUGGAUGGAUGGAUGGAUGGAUGGAUGGAUGGAUGGAUGGAUGGAUGGAUGGAUGGAUGGAUGGAGGAUCCUCCUGCUUUUCCUGCUCCCUCUCUCCCCGCCCCGGCCGGCGCUGCCCGAUGGGGAUGCUGAGCCGCCCCUCUUGUCCCCGCAGCCGCGGCCGCCGAGGAGCGGCUCCAGCCCGAGCUGGUGGUGCCGCGCUGGGCAGCCCCGGGUGGCCCUGGCAGCCCCAAGCAUCCACUCCAAGCUGAAGUUACAGUAAAGGCAGAAGGCCAGGAGCUCGUCUUGGAACUGGAGAAAAACAGGAACCUCUUUGCACCAGGCUACACCGAGACCCACUACAGCCAGACUGGGCAAGCCCAGAGCACCCCCCUGAGCCACACGGUGAGUGCACAGAUCCUUCCCCCCUGUGCCUGCAUGGGACACCAGCGCUUGGAGAAGCUGGUGAACCUCUUCCUCCUGAGCCUUUGUUUUGUUUUUUGAGGGCACAGAUCCCCACAGCUUUAAGCUAAAGGGGAGGGCAGUCCAGCUUUCUGAUCUGGGAGCUUCCAGUGGGAAAGCUGCUCCAUCCCCCAAAAAUGGUAAAAACAUCUUUCUGUUUUGCCUGAGCUCAGUUAUGAGAGCCAAGGUCAGCCGCCAGCACUGCUCCCCUCUCUCUGGGUGCUGGGGAAUUGUUUAUUUCUCACAUUGCUCACCCUCUUGCUUUUAGUUUUGCCGCCAGGUUCCCUGUGCUGGGGACCUUCCCAGCCUUUGGGGAAAGCAGCCCCUAUAAGCCUGCUCCUGUUCAGUAAAAACCCCAUAAAUUACUGAUCUCACACAGGCUUGGCUGCCUCUGCUGCAGCAGCACAAAGAUGUGCAUUGGUCACAAAGCAAAAAUAAGAGAUAAAAUCCCCAUGAGAUCAUCUUUCCUACUGCUGCCCCGGGGUGAGGGGAAGGGAUGUAAUGAAUAUGUUGGUGUUUCUGCCCCAAAGCCUCCUUGUCCCAGCCAGAGGCUCCCUUUGUCUGAGCCCGGGGCUGCCCCACUGCCCACAGUGUCACCUCUCUGGGGCUGGAGCCACAUCCCUUGGGCCUGACCCUGGGCCAGCUGCCACCCAUGGGCACUCCUGCCACAGACAGAGAGCUCUGGGUCUGCCCCAGCGUGCAGCUGAGUCCUUUCCCCUGAGACUCAAAGCUGCCCAUUUUUGCUGGCAACAGGGAGCUGUUUGAUGCUCUGGCACGGGUGGUGCGUGGCAGCUGGAAAGCCAAAUUUUGCUGUGGAGCCUCAGAGAUUUAGAGGUGAUAAUCAGCUGCCAGAUGCAGUGGAAAGGGAACAAUUGUGGAGUGUUGGGAGUGUUUGCAUGGGACUAAAUACAGCACGUGUGCCGUGUCCAUCUCAUCCUAUUUGUGUCCAUCCUAUUUGUGUCCAUCCCAUCCGUAUCCAUCCCAUCCUUGUCCAUCCCAUCCUUGUCCAUCCCAUCGUGUCCAUCCCAUUCCCGUCCAUCCCAUCCUUAUCCAUCCCAUCCCUGUCUAUCCCAUCCUUGUCCAUCCCAUCCUUGUCCAUCCCAUCCCUGUCCAUCCCAUCGUGUCCAUCCCAUCCUUAUCCAUC
Catharus ustulatus (Swainson's thrush) is the source of this 1749-nucleotide long non-coding RNA. Lineage: Eukaryota; Metazoa; Chordata; Aves; Passeriformes; Turdidae. The record is from Ensembl.